This 465-nucleotide ribosomal RNA is filed under the name uncultured Klebsiella sp. RNAcentral describes it as "bacterial SSU rRNA". It matches the Rfam family "Bacterial small subunit ribosomal RNA", at positions 338 to 795 of the family's 1533-position model. The record is from RNAcentral. Lineage: Bacteria; Pseudomonadati; Pseudomonadota; Gammaproteobacteria; Enterobacterales; Enterobacteriaceae.
CCUACGGGCGGCAGCAGUGGGGAAUAUUGCACAAUGGGCGCAAGCCUGAUGCAGCCAUGCCGCGUGUGUGAAGAAGGCCUUCGGGUUGUAAAGCACUUUCAGCGGGGAGGAAGGCGUUAAGGUUAAUAACCUUGUCGAUUGACGUUACCCGCAGAAGAAGCACCGGCUAACUCCGUGCCAGCAGCCGCGGUAAUACGGAGGGUGCAAGCGUUAAUCGGAAUUACUGGGCGUAAAGCGCACGCAGGCGGUCUGUCAAGUCGGAUGUGAAAUCCCCGGGCUCAACCUGGGAACUGCAUUCGAAACUGGCAGGCUAGAGUCUUGUAGAGGGGGGUAGAAUUCCAGGUGUAGCGGUGAAAUGCGUAGAGAUCUGGGGGAAUACCGGUGGCGAAGGCGGCCCCCUGGACAAAGACUGACGCUCAGGUGCGAAAGCGUGGGGAGCAAACAGGAUUAGAUACCCGAGUAGUC